CCUACGGGAGGCAGCAGUGGGGAAUUUUGGACAAUGGGCGCAAGCCUGAUCCAGCAAUGCCGCGUGAGUGAAGAAGGCCUUCGGGUUGUAAAGCUCUUUUGUCAGGGAAGAAACGGUGAGCUCUAAUACAGUUUGCUAAUGACGGUACCUGAAGAAUAAGCACCGGCUAACUACGUGCCAGCAGCCGCGGUAAUACGUAGGGUGCAAGCGUUAAUCGGAAUUACUGGGCGUAAAGCGUGCGCAGGCGGUUUUGUAAGUCUGUCGUGAAAUCCCCGGGCUCAACCUGGGAAUGGCGAUGGAGACUGCAAGGCUAGAGUUUGGCAGAGGGGGGUAGAAUUCCACGUGUAGCAGUGAAAUGCGUAGAUAUGUGGAGGAACACCGAUGGCGAAGGCAGCCCCCUGGGUCAAACUGACGCUCAUGCACGAAAGCGUGGGGAGCAAACAGGAUUAGAUACCCUGGUAGUCCACGCCCUAAACGACUGUCUACUAGUUGUCGGGUCUUAAUUGACUUGGUAACGCAGCUAACGCGUGAAGUAGACCGCCUGGGGAGUACGGUCGCAAGNUUAAAACGUCAAAGGAAUUGACGG
This 586-nucleotide ribosomal RNA is filed under the name uncultured bacterium. RNAcentral's name for it is "bacterial SSU rRNA". It matches the Rfam family "Bacterial small subunit ribosomal RNA", at positions 338 to 916 of the family's 1533-position model. The record is from RNAcentral.